UGGGGAAUAUUGGGCAAUGGGCGAAAGCCUGACCCAGCAACGCCGCGUGAAGGAAGAAGGUCUUCGGAUUGUAAACUUCUGUCAUUGGGGACGAAGAAAGUGACGGUACCCAAGGAGGAAGCCCCGGCUAACUACGUGCCAGCAGCCGCGGUAAUACGUAGGGGGCGAGCGUUGUCCGGAAUUACUGGGCGUAAAGGGUGCGUAGGCGGCAAUGCAAGUCCAUUGUGAAAAGCCCGGGCUUAACCUGGGAGGUGCAGUGGAAACUGUAUAGCUUGAGUGCAGGAGAGGAAAGUGGAAUUCCUAGUGUAGCGGUGAAAUGCGUAGAUAUUAGGAGGAACACCAGUGGCGAAGGCGACUUUCUGGACUGUAACUGACGCUGAGGCACGAAAGCGUGGGGAGCAAACA
Molecule: ribosomal RNA, 405 nt
Filed under: uncultured Eubacteriales bacterium
Lineage: Bacteria; Bacillati; Bacillota; Clostridia; Eubacteriales
Description: uncultured Clostridiales bacterium partial 16S ribosomal RNA
Rfam family: Bacterial small subunit ribosomal RNA
Source: RNAcentral